Myodes glareolus (Bank vole) is the source of this 1354-nucleotide non-coding RNA. NCBI's taxonomy places the organism in Eukaryota, Metazoa, Chordata, Mammalia, Rodentia, Cricetidae. The record is from RefSeq and is a predicted model, not a curated record.
UUUCUUAAAGGGUGGUUGCACGGAAACACAACUGACUCGGGGCCACCAGGAAUCCUAGUGUUGUUUUUUGUGGCGAAUAAAAGGAACCCGUAAGACGUUGGAUGAUUACCUAACUUUUGGACUUAAUUUAAGCAACAAUCACGAUCUCUACAAAAACUUUUCAUUCUCUACAUAGGAGGCUUUUGGACAAGUGCUGCUAUUUAUGUCCAAACACAAGAAUGGAAUCCUUAAGAUUUUCUACGUCUUCUUCCAGAAUCAUAAGCAAGUUCUCCCUGGCCCCUCUGCCUCUGUAGGCUCACUCCCUCUUCUUGUAGGUCUGCCAAAUAAUUGAGCCUUUGGUGUUCCUAUCACCUGCCAGCCUGGAAUUUCUCUGACAGCUUUGCAGGAAAUGAGUGUGCUGCCUGACCGUCAUCUUAGACUUUAUCCUUGAUCUAGCCUUGAUAAAAACCUAAGUCACUCGGGAAACUGUUUAAAUUGCAGAUUUUAGAAUUUAGGGUCUCUGAUACCAUCAUGAGAUGUUGCAACCAAAGAGGUCAUGGUGCAACUCGUCCUUGGGAGACACCUUUCCUGGACUUCCACUGGUGUUUUGUGGCUUUGAGCUGUUUGUUUGUUUUGUUUUUGUUUUUGUUUUUUUAUAUACUUUUACCCCUACUUCAGAAUAGAUUGGGAGUCCCAAAAGGAAAGUGGAAUUUUGGAGUGUGUUCUACAUGAAGUGGCCCUACUCCUCAACAUGCUACAUGCUUAAUAAAUGUUCUCCUGAGUAAGCCAGAAUCUGAAGAUGGUUUAGGAUUUACCAGACAAAUUAGUGUAUCUGUUCACUGCAGGCUCCAAUGAAUUCUCACUGAACUUUAACCCCCCCACAUCUACAUCCAGUUUUUCUAGAUAUUUUUAUUCCUCCUCAUCCUCAGAAGGAUCCAGUUUUAAUAGAAUGUUAUAUUGACCAAGCAUUGAAAGCUAAUUCCCAAUGCGAUGUAAUGAUAUUUGGAGGUGGGUCUUUGGACGAUAACGGAUCACGUGAUGUCUAAGCUGGCACAAAUGGAGAAGACAGCAAUCUGAGUAAAGAAAUUUCCUUGGAAGAUACUAAAUCUGCUGGUCCCUUGAUCUUGGGCUUCCCAAGCCCACGGAAUACGUGGGAAGUUUCUUUUGUUAAACCAUCCAGCUUAUGGUCUAUCAGUCUAUCAUAGGCACUCAGAAAGACCGCAACACAUAAGGGCUCCCUGGAUAGGAGACAGGUGUAUUCCAUUUGUCUCACUUCAAAAGUGGUUUUGGGUACUGAAUCUGUGAACAUAUAAGUGAUCUCAUUUGACACCACCAAUGUGAGUAACAGAGAAGAAUAAAUUCUACAUUAAUGAGA